UUGGAGGGCAAGUCUGGUGCCAGCAGCCGCGGUAAUUCCAGCUCCAAUAGCGUAUAUUAAAGUUGUUGCAGUUAAAAAGCUCGUAGUUGAAUUUCGGGGUUCUACCGUUGGUCGGGCUUUGUCUGUACUGGUGUGUAGAAUUUCUACCUUCUGGGGAACCAUCAUGCUAUUAAUUUAGCGUGGUGGGAAACCAGGACCUUUACCUUGAAAAAAUUAGUGUGUUCAAAGCAGGCUUAUGUCUGAAUACAUUAGUGUGGAAUAAUAGAAUAGGACGGUGGUCCUGUUUUGUUGGUUUCUGAAUCACCGUAAUGAUUAAUAGGGAUAGUUGGGGGCAUUAGUAUUCAAUUGUCAGAGGUGAAAUUCUUGGAUUUAUUGAAGACUAACUUCUGCGAAAGCAUUUGCCAAGGAUGUUUUCAUUAAUCAAGAACGAAAGUUAGGGGAUCGAAGACGAUCAGAUACCGUCGUAGUCUUAACCAUAAACUAUGCCGACUAGGGAUCGGACGAUGUUAAUUUUUCUUGACUCGUUCGGCGCCUUACGGGAAAC
This 544-nucleotide ribosomal RNA is filed under the name uncultured Glomeromycotina. Its description in RNAcentral is "SSU rRNA". It matches the Rfam family "Eukaryotic small subunit ribosomal RNA", at positions 548 to 1098 of the family's 1831-position model. Lineage: Eukaryota; Fungi; Glomeromycota. The record is from RNAcentral.